UUGCACGCUGGCGGCAUGCUUUACCCAUGCAAGUCGAACGGUAACAGGCCGCAAGGUGCUGACGAGUGGCGAACGGGUGAGUAAUGCAUCGGAACGUGCCCAGUCGUGGGGGAUAACUACUCGAAAGAGUAGCUAAUACCGCAUACGAUCUAUGGAUGAAAGCGGGGGACCGUCAGGCCUCGCGCGAUUGGAGCGGCCGAUGUCAGAUUAGGUAGUUGGUGGGGUAAUGGCUCACCAAGCCAACGAUCUGUAGCUGGUCUGAGGGGAGGACCAGCGACACGGGAAGGGAGAGAAGGUAGAGAGUACUAAGGGAGGAAGCAGUGGGGAAUCUGAGGGAAUGGGCGAAAGCGUGACGGAGCAACGUGGAGUGAGGGAUGAAAGUCUUCGGAUCGGAAAGCGCUGCUAUGAGGGAAGAAAAAAGGGGGAAGGAAAUGGGGACGGCGUGACGGUACGUAAUAAGAAAGGAACGGCUAACGACGUG
RNAcentral lists this ribosomal RNA (481 nucleotides) under uncultured bacterium. RNAcentral describes it as "partial 16S ribosomal RNA". It matches the Rfam family "Bacterial small subunit ribosomal RNA", at positions 29 to 507 of the family's 1533-position model. The record is from RNAcentral.